Molecule: long non-coding RNA, 799 nt
Filed under: Capsicum annuum
Lineage: Eukaryota; Viridiplantae; Streptophyta; Magnoliopsida; Solanales; Solanaceae
Description: long non-coding RNA (CANN_LNC013658)
Source: RNAcentral
UUGAAUAGGUCCCACCCUGGUGCAUUCUGUGCAGUUGGUCGUACAGCUGAGAGAUCUGUAGAUAAGAUUGGAACAUUGUAUGUAAUUGACAAUGGAUGAACUCCAACAAUUGCUAUACCUCUGGCUCAAGACACCACCUUCAUCAGGUUCCCCUGGGACAUACUCAGGUUGAACCUACCCUGCCCACAGGAUGCCCUUCAAGUUGGAACGGUACUAUCCCAGCUCCCGCCUGAUGGUUUCCCGAGCUUUCCUGGUCGGGUGAGCAGCAGCAUUUAGGUAAACAGGUACUGGUUCAUUUGCCUUGUUAUUGUGAAUAGUGCUCAUCAAUUUGUUAAAUGUCAGGUCCAUUUUAAGUAGUAGCAAAUUUUGUACUGUCCUUGAAACUGGUUUUCAAUUUCAGCUGCAGCUUUUUGUUCUUUUUUCCGAGCAAGCAGAUUCAUCAAGUUUAAGCCUACGCCGGUGGAUGAAUGACAAUGUUGUUCAUGGCAUCAAGGUGGGGAUGAGCACCAUCAUGAGCAGCAUAUGAAAUCAUCGUGAUUCUGAAUAUGUUCACAAUGAUAGCUCCAGGAUUGAAUUUUGCAGCAUGUUCUAUGGAUUCAAGAGCUAUUGUUUUGUCGCGUAAUUCAGAUGUGCAGAGCUUUCAACAUAGCAACAUUAUAUUGAUUGUAUUACAGUUUUCUUGUCGUUGCACAUUUGCAAGACACAGAUUCUGACAUUACUUCAAGGUACUGUUGAGCUUUAUAUAUGUUCGACUUUUUGAGAUGGCAUGUUUUAUAUGCCAUGCCUAUCUAUAUCUACU